This 322-nucleotide ribosomal RNA is filed under the name uncultured Pseudomonas sp. RNAcentral's name for it is "bacterial SSU rRNA". It matches the Rfam family "Bacterial small subunit ribosomal RNA", at positions 1059 to 1382 of the family's 1533-position model. The record is from RNAcentral. Lineage: Bacteria; Pseudomonadati; Pseudomonadota; Gammaproteobacteria; Pseudomonadales; Pseudomonadaceae.
CUCGUGUCGUGAGAUGUUGGGUUAAGUCCGUAACGAGCGCAACCCUGUCCUUAGUUACCAGCACGUUAUGGUGGGCACUCUAAGGAGACUGCCGGUGACAAACCGGAGGAAGGUGGGGAUGACGUCAAGUCAUCAUGGCCCUUACGGCCUGGGCUACACACGUGCUACAAUGGUCGGUACAAAGGGUUGCCAAGCCGCGAGGUGGAGCUAAUCCCAUAAAACCGAUCGUAGUCCGGAUCGCAGUCUGCAACUCGACUGCGUGAAGUCGGAAUCGCUAGUAAUCGUGAAUCAGAAUGUCACGGUGAAUACGUUCCCGGGCCUU